Molecule: long non-coding RNA, 1466 nt
Filed under: Bos indicus x Bos taurus (hybrid cattle)
Lineage: Eukaryota; Metazoa; Chordata; Mammalia; Artiodactyla; Bovidae
Description: lncRNA (ENSBIXG00005020713.1)
Source: RNAcentral
CGACUCGGGCCAAAAACCUGGCUCGAAGAGGAUUCAGCUUCUGCCCGCUUUCUCUGGGCUCCUCAGACACCAAACUGAACCCCUUGACCCUUACCCUUUACCCUAACGACUCCUUUCCUAGCUAAAGGAAUAAAUCCUCCGACGUGUUUACAUCCCAGGCUAUCCCUGGGACUGAAGGGCUGAGAAGCCUGCGGUCCGCACUGGAACUCUGAUGACUUUAGAUUAACUCUGAGGAGGAGAGCAGCUUGCGAUGGAUCUCAAGCUGCUGGCCUUCUUGCUUUCAGUCUUUGGGUGUUUCUUAGCAGUUCCAGCCCUGAGUCCCUGGUGGGGACUUCAAAGGCAUGGCCUCAACCUAGAGGGUAUUAGGGGAGGUGCCCAGCAGUUCCUGGAGGGUUCAGGGCAUUAUUGUCAAUGGAAUGUGAAAUGAAUAGCAGGAAUUUGAAAAAAAUCUUUAUGUGCAGAUAUAUUGAUAUUAUUUAUUACAUAUUUAUCUAUACUAAGGAAGCCAGAGGGUGAUUUGGACUAAAAGGAAGCCCAGCAGGAUUAAUGUCUUCCUCCUCCUUCUCCCCGCCCCCCCCAACCCCUGCCUUUGUCCUAGGCCCAGAGGUUCCAUCCCUAAGCUAUGGGGUGUCUUCUCUCCUUUGGAAGGACUUUAGAGAUGGCAGUUGAGACUUGCCUGGAAACUGAGGCCAGGAGCGGCUAUGAGCGGCUAGCUGAAGGUCACAUGGCUAGUGAGUUCCUGAACCAGGAUUCAACCUCAGUAAUCCUGUUUCCACAUACGGAGCUCCUUUUAAUAUGGUAUGGGGCCUCCAUUUCAUGUCAAAAAUAUUCCCUUUCAGGCAGAUUUGUUUUUCUAGUUGUUUCUCCCAUCAAUAACAGCUGGACUCAGAGAGGCAGCUUGUUGUAAUGGAAAGAGGAUUGUUUGGAGAGUUCUAAGAAUCCCAUCCCAGUUCUGUCUUGUCGAUAGCUAGCAGUGGGACCUCAGGCAAGCCCUAGCAUUUAAGCAGUGCCAGCCUUGUGCCAGGUAAUGUGUUUUGGGUCUUCCCCAUGCUCUAAAAUAUAGAAAUCAAUGCACCUAUCAUACCUCCCUCACAGGCACACACCUGAGCAUCAAAUGAAAUAAUGGAUGGGAAAGAAUUUUGUACACUGUCAACUACUAGGCUCAUACAAGAGUUUUUAUUAUUAGCGUUGGCACCACCAGCCCCCUUAGAUGUGGCACAGAGAUUUAGGGGUGACACUGGCCUGAGCCCUGUCUUUGUGAACUGACCAGACAAAACAGGGCAUUGGGAGGUGGUGUCCCAGGGUAAUUUAGGCCCCAAACCAAACCUCUGGCUAAAUUCAUAGGAUAAUUGCUUCAAUUCUCUGCUUUGUUCUGCAAUCACAGGCCUUGUCUCUCUGGUAAAACAGCCCAGUCCUAUGACAACAACAACAAUAAAAUCCCAGUGGUUUAGAUCUUUAGACUGUCA